UACGUAGGGAGCAAGCGUUGUCCGGAAUCAUUGGGCGUAAAGCGCGCGUAGGCGGCCUCGUAAGUCCGUUGUGAAAGUCAAAGGCUCAACCUUUGAAAGCCGAUGGAUACUGUGAGGCUAGAGUCCGGAAGAGGCGAGUGGAAUUCCUGGUGUAGCGGUGGAAUGCGCAGAUAUCAGGAGGAACACCAAUAGCGAAGGCAGCUCGCUGGGACGGUACCGACGCUAAGGCGCGAAAGCGUGGGGAGCGAACAGG
RNAcentral lists this ribosomal RNA (253 nucleotides) under uncultured bacterium. Its description in RNAcentral is "partial 16S ribosomal RNA". It matches the Rfam family "Bacterial small subunit ribosomal RNA", at positions 524 to 776 of the family's 1533-position model. The record is from RNAcentral.